GACGAACGCUGGCGGCGUGCCUAAUACAUGCAAGUAGGACGCAGUUGCGCACGGGUGAGUCACGCGUGGGUAAGUACCUAUUAGAGGGGGAUCACGGUUGGAAACGAUAGCUAAUACCGCAUACUAGUAAAUGGACCUUCGGUGUAUUAGCUAGUAUGUAGGGUAAUGGCCUACCUAGGCACAGAUACAUAUACGACCUGGGAGGGUGAGCGGCAACACUGGGACUGAGACACGGCCCAGACUCCUACGGGAGGCAGCAGUAGGGAAUCUGUGGCAAUGGGGGGAAGCCUGACCGAGCAACGCCGCGUGAGUGAAGAAGGUGUUCGGAUCGUAAAGCUCUGUUGUGAAGGAAGCGGUACUUAACCAGAAAGGGACGGCUAACUCCGUGCCAGCAGCCGCGGUAAUAC
Molecule: ribosomal RNA, 407 nt
Filed under: uncultured bacterium
Lineage: Bacteria
Description: partial 16S ribosomal RNA
Rfam family: Bacterial small subunit ribosomal RNA
Source: RNAcentral